UUCCUUAUGGGUGUUCAGCAUUGCCAACAACAUUAUACCUCAGAUCCCGUCAUCACUUUAGCCAUGGAGGGCGAAGGUUGUUGAUCAGUCAAAACCCACAGAAGCAGUGGGAUGUCAAGCUUGUUUUUGAACUGUUUGGUGUUGACAUUGUUGAUCGAAGAGUUAUCGAGAUCAGUUUUGACGAUGGAUCAGUAUCGGAAUGAGGUUUUGUGGGCAGUUCGAAUUGGCUUAUUCGUGAUCGCCAUGGCAGCGCCUUAGCAGCAGGAGGGAGGUGGUUGGCGUCGACCUCGGUUUCCAUGGCUG
RNAcentral lists this long non-coding RNA (303 nucleotides) under Phoenix dactylifera (date palm). RNAcentral's name for it is "long non-coding RNA (PDAC_LNC015729)". The record is from RNAcentral. Lineage: Eukaryota; Viridiplantae; Streptophyta; Magnoliopsida; Arecales; Arecaceae.